RNAcentral lists this ribosomal RNA (549 nucleotides) under uncultured Synergistota bacterium. RNAcentral describes it as "bacterial SSU rRNA". It matches the Rfam family "Bacterial small subunit ribosomal RNA", at positions 9 to 569 of the family's 1533-position model. The record is from RNAcentral. Lineage: Bacteria; Thermotogati; Synergistota.
GAGUUUGAUUAUGGCUCAGGACGAACGCUGGCGGCGCGCUUAACACAUGCAAGUCGUGCGAUACCUCGAGCAAGUCUUACGACAAGCUCAAGGUGUAGCGGCGGACGGGUGAGUAACACGUGAGUAGCUGUCCUAAGGAGGGGGAUAACGCCUGGAAACGGGUGCUAAAACCCCAUAUGCCUCGCAAGAGGUGAAAGUGUAGCUUGCUACAGCCUUAGGGUGUGCUCGCGGCCUAUCAGCUAGUUGGUGAGGUAACGGCUCACCAAGGCUAAGACGGGUAGCCGGCCUGAGAGGGUGUACGGCCACACUGGAAUUGAGAUACGGUCCAGACUCCUACGGGAGGCAGCAGUGGGGAAUCUUGGGCAAUGGGCGAAAGCCUGACCCAGCGACGCCGCGUUGGGGAUGAAGCCCUUCGGGGUGUAAACCCAUGUUGUAGGGGACGAAGAAAGUGACGGUACCCUACGAGGAAGCCCCGGCUAACUACGUGCCAGCAGCCGCGGUAAGACGUAGGGGGCGAGCGUUGUCCGGAAUUACUGGGCGUAAAGGGCG